GAACUCAAAGGAGUUCCUUAGCUUCUUCCUUUUCUUUCUCUAAUUGUCUUAAAAUUCCUCUCAUUCCGUUUUUCUUAUAAACUAGGAAUUCAUAGUUCUAUCGACUAGAAGAUUUGGAUCAAAGAGUCACUGAGCUGUUGGGGUUGAUCCAUUUGAUGUUUGUGGCCCUAUGUCCACGUCAUCAAGAGGAGGCUUCUCAUAUUUUAUAACAUUCAUCAAUGAUCACUCUCGGUUGGGCUAUGUGUAUCUCAUGAAGCACAAGUCCGAAUCUUUUGAAAAGUUUAAGGAAUUCAAGAAUGAGGUUGGGAGGCAAACUGGAAAGAGUAUAAAGAUUCUAAGAUCAGAUCAAGGAGGUGAAUACUUGAGUAUAGAGUUUCUUGAUUAUUCGAAGGAACAUGGUAUCAUUUCUUAAUGGACUCCACCAGGGACUCCACAACUCAAUGGAGUUUCCAAAAGGAGAAAUCAAACCUUG
This 472-nucleotide long non-coding RNA is filed under the name Prunus dulcis (almond). RNAcentral describes it as "sRNA ncRNA". The record is from RNAcentral. Lineage: Eukaryota; Viridiplantae; Streptophyta; Magnoliopsida; Rosales; Rosaceae.